Molecule: ribosomal RNA, 253 nt
Filed under: uncultured bacterium
Lineage: Bacteria
Description: partial 16S ribosomal RNA
Rfam family: Bacterial small subunit ribosomal RNA
Source: RNAcentral
UACGAAGGGGGCUAGCGUUGCUCGGAAUCACUGGGCGUAAAGCGCGCGUAGGUGGCUUCGUAAGUCCGUUGUGAAAGUCAAAGGCUCAACCUUUGAAAGCCGAUGGAUACUGUGAAGCUAGAGUACGGAAGAGGCGAGUGGAAUUCCUGGUGUAGCGGUGGAAUGCGCAGAUAUCAGGAAGAACACCAAUGGCGAAAGCAGCUUUCUGGGACGGUACUGACGCUGAGACGCGAAAGCGUGGGGAGCGAACAGG